Molecule: transfer RNA, 73 nt
Filed under: Thermoflexales bacterium
Lineage: Bacteria; Bacillati; Chloroflexota; Thermoflexia; Thermoflexales
Description: tRNA-Gly
Rfam family: tRNA
About the family: Transfer RNA (tRNA) molecules are approximately 80 nucleotides in length. Their secondary structure includes four short double-helical elements and three loops (D, anti-codon, and T loops).
Source: RNAcentral
GCGGGAGUAGCUCAGUUGGUAGAGCGCCUGCCUUCCAAGCAGGAUGUCGCGGGUCCGAGUCCCGUCUCCCGCU